RNAcentral lists this long non-coding RNA (3212 nucleotides) under Canis lupus familiaris (dog). RNAcentral's name for it is "lncRNA (ENSCAFG00000053215.1, ENSCAFG00845002505.1)". The record is from RNAcentral. Lineage: Eukaryota; Metazoa; Chordata; Mammalia; Carnivora; Canidae.
AAACAUGUUCGCUUUUGGAGAAACAGUGUUGAAAAGUAAUUUCAUUUGUUCUUCAUUUGGCUAGGUAUAAACUUAACCAUCUUUGACCAGAAACUCUGCUUGUUAUUAUUUUUCUUUUUUCAUUUUACUGAAGCCAUGGUGUCACUAAAUGUACUUUCUUUUUCUAGUUUUGAUUCUUUCCUCUGAUUUUCUUUAAAUUAAAACUAUGUCGCUUCCCCUCUCUAUUCUGCGUCCACUCCCCAUGUCCCUACACAAAUACACAUGGUUCUUGUUAAGAAUAGCAGUCAUCUUGGUCAAGUUGUCUUUUCCUGCUUUCUAAAAUCCUGAUUCAUAAGUAUUUUGUGGAAUAAUACCAAAAGGGAUCACAAUCUUUUAUUCAGUCAUUUUCUGUCGGAGGCAAAUUCAGUUUUUAGGGUUAUAGUGGUCAUGAGACCACAGGUGAGCAUCCACUUUUUAACAAUCCCAACAAUGUUUGACUCUCAACAUGUUUCUUGGUGUUUGAGUGUUUUGCAAGAACUUGUAUCAGAAGUUAAAUAUUCUAGCACUAUUCCUAUAUAGCUUUGCUAUUUCUCUAUAAUGCAUCAUACUAAUUAUUAGUGGUUUGACCAGUGGCUUUGAAUUAAUAAUGGGUCUGAUUUAUACAGUAGACAAUUUUUUUUCACAUGUUUUAUCCCCCAGCCCAGUUUUGCGGAUGGUCUUUACUCUCCAAUGUAAAUUUACCCCUUCGAAAUUUGGGUUUUUGUGAUAAUAGGAACUAUUCUAUAAUCUGGGUGAGAAAGAUUUAAAAAAUGAGCUGAAAGUAGUUUGAGAAUUCUUAAAGAUGAGAUAGAUCAGGUAUUUGGAGUUGUGAAUGUACUAGGGGGAAGUUAAGGUGCAGGAAGAAGGGAGAAUUGUGUUCCCAUCAGCAAUCUGCAGGUUCACUCCACCAUCUCAACACCAAAACAUACUGUAAUAGCUUUUCCCACCUUGUAGCAGUUUAUCUGAAAAAAAUGAGGAACCAUUGUGAAUGUAAAUAUGGUAGUAAGAAAACUUAUAACCCCUAGACUUUAUAAUGUUUUAGGUUAUCAAACUGCUUUCACUGUGUACUCUCUUUGUCUCCCCAACACGGAAGGUUGGACAGAUGUCCAAAUACUCCUCUUACUGGUGAAGAACCUGCAGGUUGGCAAGAAUAGCAAAUGCCUUGCUCCAGUCACAGAGCAAGUCCACCCAUCUGAGAUCAAACCAUUUCAAUUCUGCAGACUGACUGCUAAAUGCAUUUCUGCACCAUAAACUAUGACUUACAGAGUGUUAUUGAGCAGAAAUUGUCAGACCUGAUCUAAGAAUAAUACAAAACCUACUUAUUGUGUGCAAAACAUGCUUCUCAACUUUGUUUCCAUUAUUUAUUUAGCCAGUGAUUUUUGUAUGCAUACUUUGGAAGGUCUCCCCAAAUUCCCAGGACUUCUGCAUUAGGGCUUAGAUUAAUGAAGCUGUAGUUUUCCCCCUGUAAGUAAGCUUUUUAAUGAAGAAUGUCCCUGUAUUACUAAAACAAAAGGAAACCUCAGUAAUAUUUGUCUAAAAAUAUUAUUUUUUUAAAAACUGAGAUCAGCAACUCAUAAUCAAAGUUUAAUGUAUUUGUUAUAUUGAAAUGCAGGUUUCUAGAAGGGAAUGUGCUGGGUAAACUGACUUAGUUCCCAGGCCCCCGUGGUAAAAAUGUAAAGUUGUUGGCAUCUCUUAAGAGUUAGUAAGUACUGUCUCCCACUUAUUUAAGUAUUUUGUUUUGUUUUUUGUUCUGCUUUGUUUCCAGCCACGUAAAGUGUCCAAAGUUUAAACAUAUCUUUGCCCAGAGAGUUAAGAAAAAUAAUGAGAUGUAUUUGUAAAGUUUUGGGUAAGCUCUUUAUAAUUAUAAAGAGGUGGGAUAUUUUGGCAUUUCCAUCAGUACAUUUUGGGUUACUAAUGAAAAACCCAAACUUACCUAAAUAAUCAAAUAAAUUCCACUUUUGAUGAUUUGGUUCAAUAACUGCCUAUCCUCACUAAUGCCUGUUUGUGAUAUUAUAAAAUGGCUGACAACAUAGGACUUUACAAAAACAGCUCUUAGAAAAAAAAACAGAAACAAAACAAAGACUAAAUAUUUUAUUAAUAUGUAUGGUCAUUUUUUUUAAACUUCUAUAACAGAUAACAUUGUGAUAGGUGCUUUAAGAGAAAUAUUUUUCCAGAAAUGGUUUUAUAGUAAAUGGGGGGGCAGCUUUUGCAUUGUGAUGUAUGGGUGGAUAGUCAUCUUUGAGUUACUAAGAAAUCAUGAAGUGUUCCCUGAAGAGAAACUCAUAAAACUAUUUGGCAGAAAGAAAAGCAUUAAUUUCUAGUUUCUUUAUUUUCUCUUGUGUUAUAUGGUGGCCUAUAUCACGUGUAGAUUCACGUGUAUAUCAAUACUUUGGCUCAAAGGAGAAGACAGUGCUUAUCAAUAGUGGGUGUAAAAUAUUCAGAUUCUUCAUUAUGGGGAAAUAGAGUAGCAUUGACUUUUCAAUAGAGAAAUACCAAUUUCACAAGUUAAUAUUCCUGUCUCUACGUGACUUUUUCUCUCCUUUGAGUAUAUUUACUAUUUAUUUUGUACCUUUGAUUUUUUUGCUUUGGGGGAUUUAUUUUUACCUAUUGCAGUCCUACUGUAUUAAAUAUCCCAUAUAAUGAAAUAAGUUAGUAAGGGAAAGAUUUUAAAACUCCAUAAAAUCUGGUUUGGGUUCUUAAUAUAUGGGAGAAACAGUUUCAAGAAAAAGCACUUCACCAUGCAGAAGGGAAAGAGUAGUCUUAAUUAUGAUGACUUCAAUUCAGGAUCAAGAUGUAGUGCUCUGCAUACAAGGGAACACUUACUAGCAGUACUUGAAGACUUGUGAGUUGGAAUUGCAUGUUACUUGAAAGACCUAAUUAAGCUAAAUUUUGGUGCACAGCAGUUGUACAUGAUUUCAUGUUUAUGUAGCAAAAUGCAUUGAAAUGUACUAGUAUUGAAACAUACAUGUAAAGAUAGUUGUGGAAAUUGUCUAUUAUAUUUUCCUUGUGUGUCUCAUUUAUUUAGAGCACAAAGUUUUUUUUUUAAGUGUUCUAACUGAAUAAGGCUAAAUGAAUACUGUAAUUGAAAUUAUAUUUUAAAUCUUUGUCAUGAGUUUUUAAAAAAACUAUUGCAAAUUGUAUCAUUCCUGAUUACACAGAACUUUGUGGGUGGUUUUAAAUAAAUUUUAUACUUC